UUUGAGUUUGAUCCUGGCUCAGAUUGAACGCUGGCGGCAGGCCUAACACAUGCAAGUCGAACGGUAGCACAGAGAGCUUGCUCUUGGGUGACGAGUGGCGGACGGGUGAGUAAUGUCUGGGAAACUGCCCGAUGGAGGGGGAUAACUACUGGAAACGGUAGCUAAUACCGCAUAACGUCGCAAGACCAAAGUGGGGGACCUUCGGGCCUCACACCAUCGGAUGUGCCCAGAUGGGAUUAGCUAGUUGGUGAGGUAAUGGCUCACCAAGGCGACGAUCCCUAGCUGGUCUGAGAGGAUGACCAGCCACACUGGAACUGAGACACGGUCCAGACUCCUACGGGAGGCAGCAGUGGGGAAUAUUGCACAAUGGGCGCAAGCCUGAUGCAGCCAUGCCGCGUGUAUGAAGAAGGCCUUCGGGUUGUAAAGUACUUUCAGCGAGGAGGAAGGCAUUAAGGUUAAUAACCUUAGUGAUUGACGUUACUCGCAGAAGAAGCACCGGCUAACUCCGUGCCAGCAGCCGCGGUAAUACGGAGGGUGCAAGCGUUAAUCGGAAUUACUGGGCGUAAAGCGCACGCAGGCGGUCUGUCAAGUCGGAUGUGAAAUCCCCGGGCUCAACCUGGGAACUGCAUUCGAAACUGGCAGGCUAGAGUCUUGUAGAGGGGGGUAGAAUUCCAGGUGUAGCGGUGAAAUGCGUAGAGAUCUGGAGGAAUACCGGUGGCGAAGGCGGCCCCCUGGACAAAGACUGACGCUCAGGUGCGAAAGCGUGGGGAGCAAACAGGAUUAGAUACCCUGGUAGUCCACGCCGUAAACGAUGUCUAUUUGGAGGUUGUUCCCUUGAGGAGUGGCUUCCGGAGCUAACGCGUUAAAUAGACCGCCUGGGGAGUACGGCCGCAAGGUUAAAACUCAAAUGAAUUGACGGGGGCCCGCACAAGCGGUGGAGCAUGUGGUUUAAUUCAAUGCAACGCGAAAAACCUUACCUACUCUUGACAUCCAGAGAAUUUAGUAGAGAUGCUUUGGUGCCUUCGGGAACUCUGAGACAGGUGCUGCAUGGCUGUCGUCAGCUCGUGUUGUGAAAUGUUGGGUUAAGUCCCGCAACGAGCGCAACCCUUAUCCUUUGUUGCCAGCGGUUCGGCCGGGAACUCAAAGGAGACUGCCAGUGAUAAACUGGGAGGAAGGUGGGGAUGACGUCAAAGUCAUCAUGGCCCUUACGAGUAGGGCUACACACGUGCUACAAUGGAAUAUACAAAGAGAAGCGACCUCGCGAGAGCAAGCGGACCUCAUAAAGUAUGUCGGUAGUCCGGAUUGGGAGUCUGCAACUCGACUCCAUGAAAGUCGGGAAUCGCUAGUUAAUCGUAAAUCAGAAUGGCUACGGUGGAAUACGUUCC
RNAcentral lists this ribosomal RNA (1385 nucleotides) under Enterobacter sp. RNAcentral describes it as "bacterial SSU rRNA". It matches the Rfam family "Bacterial small subunit ribosomal RNA", at positions 1 to 1374 of the family's 1533-position model. The record is from RNAcentral. Lineage: Bacteria; Pseudomonadati; Pseudomonadota; Gammaproteobacteria; Enterobacterales; Enterobacteriaceae.